GCUCUCGUAGCCCAACUGGCAGAGGCGCCGUCUUGAGGGGGCGGUCAUGUGCGCGUUCGAGUCGCGCCGAGAGCA
RNAcentral lists this transfer RNA (75 nucleotides) under Actinoplanes utahensis. RNAcentral describes it as "tRNA-Leu". Lineage: Bacteria; Bacillati; Actinomycetota; Actinomycetes; Micromonosporales; Micromonosporaceae. The record is from RNAcentral.